RNAcentral lists this ribosomal RNA (590 nucleotides) under Salmonella enterica subsp. enterica serovar Saintpaul. RNAcentral describes it as "partial 23S ribosomal RNA". It matches the Rfam family "Bacterial large subunit ribosomal RNA", at positions 2315 to 2899 of the family's 2925-position model. The record is from RNAcentral. Lineage: Bacteria; Pseudomonadati; Pseudomonadota; Gammaproteobacteria; Enterobacterales; Enterobacteriaceae.
GGUUGGCUAAUCCUGGUCGGACAUCAGGAGGUUAGUGCAAUGGCAUAAGCCAGCUUGACUGCGAGCGUGACGGCGCGAGCAGGUGCGAAAGCAGGUCAUAGUGAUCCGGUGGUUCUGAAUGGAAGGGCCAUCGCUCAACGGAUAAAAGGUACUCCGGGGAUAACAGGCUGAUACCGCCCAAGAGUUCAUAUCGACGGCGGUGUUUGGCACCUCGAUGUCGGCUCAUCACAUCCUGGGGCUGAAGUAGGUCCCAAGGGUAUGGCUGUUCGCCAUUUAAAGUGGUACGCGAGCUGGGUUUAGAACGUCGUGAGACAGUUCGGUCCCUAUCUGCCGUGGGCGCUGGAGAACUGAGGGGGGCUGCUCCUAGUACGAGAGGACCGGAGUGGACGCAUCACUGGUGUUCGGGUUGUCAUGCCAAUGGCACUGCCCGGUAGCUAAAUGCGGAAGAGAUAAGUGCUGAAAGCAUCUAAGCACGAAACUUGCCCCGAGAUGAGUUCUCCCUGAGACUUUAGGUCUCCUGAAGGAACGUUGAAGACGACGACGUUGAUAGGCCGGGUGUGUAAGCGCAGCGAUGCGUUGAGCUAACCGGU